This 16453-nucleotide long non-coding RNA is filed under the name Chlamydomonas reinhardtii. Its description in RNAcentral is "long non-coding RNA (CREI_LNC000160)". Lineage: Eukaryota; Viridiplantae; Chlorophyta; Chlorophyceae; Chlamydomonadales; Chlamydomonadaceae. The record is from RNAcentral.
GGCGCCGGCGCGCAGGUUGAGACCUGCCGGUGUUGUCUGGUUAGCGACCUGUGCUGACGAGGAUGGCGUAGCGGGCAGUCGGCUGCAGCGGCAGGGGUGUUUUCCUUGCUGUCUGGUUGGCCUGCUGCCUGCUGCACUAGUGCUUGAUAGCUGGGCGCGACUGGGCACAUAUGGCGGGCGGUGCCUGUACAAACCGACCCCGGCUAUGUCCGGGAGAUGAGGCUAGUAUCGGAACCUUCGGCCUCAGACGGAGGACGUGGCGUGGCGGCACAGCCCACUUUUCCCUUGCAAGGGAGAGCCACCUUCUCUUGUCCCUUCGUACGGUAAGAAGGCUGGUGUAAUUGGUUUCUUGUAACACAAAGCAGGAAUGUGGGCGGUGAGCUGAUGUGCUGCACCUCGCCUUGUGGGGGUCUGGGACUCUGGGAGUACGCUGCACACUACGUAGUGUGGGACUACGCCAACCUGUCCCUUACCCUGUCCUAUCGCAUACACAAUACACACACGGGUAUGUUCCCCUGCAAAACACACACUUUCAAUUAUUCGCAGUGUAGUGUUGGCUCUCUCCUGUUGGAUUUGGGUUUUGCCCCGCCCCCGCCGGGGUACUACCAGAAUCACGCGUGUCCCUCAGGCUGGGGCCAUCAUCUAGCUCGGUGCACGCGCACCAACAAUGGUGCGCGUCACGGCCAUGUCCACGUCCUAGACAUCCAACUUACGCAUCCUAGCGCGACUCAAGCUGCCGAAGCCAUCUACGUUAGCACCUGCAACGGCCACGUCCCCCCAUCAGUAGACAGGCGCAGGAGCGAAGAAUUCUCCACAGCUGCCGCGCUAUUCCGCACCACCUGUCUAGCACGCAUGGCCCACAGCCACCAACACACAUGCUUGCCGGCUCAGCAGCCGCCGCAGUACAGCCUGCAUGGGGGCGGGGGGGGCAAGGGGGGCAGUUGUUGUUGUUGUUGUGCCUGACCCAAACCUGCCAUUCCUGCAUGCCACCCCAAACCUGCCAUUCCUGCAUGCCACCCCAAACCUGCCCCAGCCCUGACCCAAGCCUGCCCCAAACCUGCCAUCCCAAACCUGACACAAACCUGACCCGAACCUGACCUCGGCCCGCCACGACCCCCACCCGCACCCCCACCAGUGCCAACACCCCCACCAACACCAACACCAGCGCCGCCAGUUCCACUGCAGGGUUGGCAGGGCCUUAGAUUUAGAUAACUAAGGAUAUGCUUAUAUAGCUUAUAUAUAACUUAGACAUUAGACAGAGGCCCCCCGACGACCAUAGUCAACGCACGGUCAAACUAAUGUUGCUGCGGUAUAUAGCAUUAUAUAAGCUUAUCUAAUCUUACCCAAGGUUUAGACUGGGGCCAUACAUGCGGUACGCCGCCCACGUGCCAGGCCCCAGCAAGAUCCUCGCCGCGGGCCUUGAAGCCAGCGACGAGGAGCUGAUCCUGCAGCAGUGCGAGGAGGAGGAGGAGGAGCUGGGGGCGGCGGCGGCGGCGCAGCAGGCGGCGCAGCCGCGCCUGCAGCUGACGGCAGAGGGCAUGCCGUACAUUACGGAGACGGAGCCGCUCGUGGAGUGAACAAAGCGGCCGCCGCAGCGGAGCACGGACAGGAGGCUGCAGCGGAGAGGAAGCUGAGCCAGCUUGAGCAUUCACGCAUUCUUUCAUUAUAUAUGGGGGCUUGACGUAGACUGCGUGGGGUGCAUGGGGCCCCAUAUGGGGAGUCGAAUGAGGCUGAGAGCGGCUGCGGCGGCAUUGACGUGCAUGGGUUUGGGGACCGUCAGGGGCUGGAGUGCAGUGGGUCGGGCAGCACAGGCUUUCGGACUGUUGAUUACAGAAGGGGACGGAGAGAGCAACGCAUUAGACUACUUAGCAGCAAAAACGGCUCAGCCCAUGACCCACUUCUCCUUGGGACACCCCCCGUGUAAGGUGGGCCUGCCUAACUUAAAUAAGCAUAGAUAAGCAUAGAUAAGCUUAUCUAAGGCUUUGGUCCGCGCGGCUAUCUAAGGUUUUGGCCAACCCUGUUCCACUGUGGCCGCCCCUGUUCCCCGCCGCUCCACCCCCCACAGCGGCGCCGUGGUCUUUCACCCGGUGGACAGUCACGCAACGAUGACGUGUACCCUUGCGUGCACCCCGGGUUGGGGGAGGUUGGGUCUCCCUGUUCGAAGGCUGGCCGCACGCAGCGCAUUGCCCUGAGCCUGCUUCCGAUUCCACACUCCUGCCCCCCGCCCAAUGUCGCUGUGUCGCUGUGCCGAUCCUUGCCCGCCGGAGCCCCCAGCCCCACCGAGCCAUCCACUCCAGCGCCUGUCACUCCGCCACCGUAUUUAGCGCCCCCCUGCCGGGAAGGGGUAGUUGGCGACAUUCGACGACCAUAUGCAGCCCCACGCGGCGAGAAUGCGCCCGCGGAAAUGCCCAAUCUUUCUCGCCCGAUGGCCUGCCUCUGGGGGCGUUUCUUGCCGUUCCCUUAAGAUGCAAGCCCUGGCCAAGGCCCUUGCUUGCCCUAGCCGCCUCCGCCUCCAUUGCCGAACGCGGCAGGCUGCGGGAUUUCGCCGCCACCUCUAACCUCUUCCUUGGUGGCACCCCGCCAGCAGCGCGGCCGUUGCCUGCGCCAUGAGGGCACAUCAUCCCGAGCAAGGUCAGCAUUUGGCCGACACGCAAAACCCGCGCUGCUGCGAGCUCCCUCCCAACGCAGUCUCCGAACGGGAGGUGGCAGGGGUAAGAGGCGGUGGGACCCUGCUGCCAGGUGCAGAUGUAAAUGUGUUGGGCAAGUUACACAGGGCACGAGGCGACGAGGGUCAAGGCACACCAGGGCACACUGUCACGGCAGGCGAGUGCAUGCGACACACACACACACACACAAAAAAAAUACCGUAUUGCCACGCUCAAUUGGUGAUUUUAUAAUUGGUGACAGGAAGAAAUCGCGUUGGAAUUAAACAGUCUGACACAGAUUUUGGUGAUGGGCUCUGGCAGAAGCCAGGCCGAAGUACACCCGUGUCACAGAAUUGGUGAUGGGACCCCCCAAAUCGUACCCAGCGUCUCCGGCCCCGGCAGCUGCAACACAAGCCCCGCGCUUGCAGGCGCAGUCAGGCGCUAUCCAGCCAAUGUCCCACAGCUUAAGCUGCUUAGGGCCUUUGGGGGCUACACUGAGCAUUGUGCGUACACUAUUGCUUAGUAUAGGAAUAGCGUCACUAGCCAAAGCAGCCUGUUUGCGUGUUUUCGCCCGACUUGGAUUCAGAGUGCACAGGCAUUGGUGACGGGCUCUGGCAAAUCCUAGUCGACAAUGUUCCCUGCUACCAAAUUGGUGAUUUUCACCAAAUUGGUGUCACCAAUUGAGCGUGGCAGUACGGUAGAUAAACCUUCAUCCUGGGACAGCUCCGACUAACCCCCAACUAACUCGUGUACGGCACCCCAACCCCCCUCAGCCGUACAGGAGGUAGCGUGGCAGUCGGCAGCUGCGCGAGUGUGAGCAGGUAGUUGUAUGGCGGCCGGCUCGGAAGCUACCUGUAUGUAGUGACGCACACGGGCAGUUGGCGCUAGUCGACAGGCGCGCGAGUGGGAGCUGGCAGUUGAGCGCGCACGCGUGUGGGAAGCUGCGUCUGAGCACGGCGGAGCACGGCAGAGGCUGGUGGUUGGCGCGGCGCGCGAGUGGCAGUGCAUAGUCGUGCGCCGUCUGGGAAGCUGCGUGUGUGAGCUGCGUGUAAGCUCAGAGAGACGCAUGGGGCUGCCCCUGUGCCAUAAGCUGCCUCUGGGUGCAAACGCUUUCACACGGUUGACAGUUGGGCUCCGGCGGGGGUGGGAAUCGCGCGAGUGCACGACGGGCGCUGGGGGGCAGGGCGCAUACACGCAGAACUCUAGUAAAACCGAGAAAUGGCCAUUCGUAGGCGCUGGCGCAUAGCCAGCUGUAAACAUUAUCGUACUUACUGGGACAGUUAACGGUGGGGGGUAAGCCGUGCGCUCCUUCAAUUCAUCGCCUCAGGCUCAGGUCCUUAUGCAGCUGCUCCACGCGGGUACCACCAGGCGGCUGGAUGGGGUCUAGGGGAGCCCCUUCUUCCACGGGCCUUUUCACUAUGAGCAAUAACUCGUACAAGGGUGCUGACCCUUUUCUCGACCCUUUUCCCUCGACCCUGGUGAAACUGGGUUGCCGUCCGGGGGUGCGUUUUCCCAGCCAAACCCGCACGCGUGGCGGCCCUUGGACGUUGCCCCGGGGCAAAUCCUACCGCACAGAUUAGACACCGCCUUUAAAUAGGUACAUAACCAACAUCAUGAUUAGCCAGAAGUGGUCGGCAAACGUCCAAAUUAUGCUUAUCGGGGCUCAAGUCGCGAAAUUGACCCAAGCCCAUAUCUCACAUAUGCGCUGUUUGGGGCCUGAAUCAAUUGCCGCCAAUGUAAUUUCUAGUAUAUAUGUAAACAAGAUAGCUUCAGGCUAAGUUGGCGGGGUCCUGGCGAGCGCGACAAUUAGCAUUUCCACUUGAGCUCUCGCUCGAAAUUAUGCCCGAGCACCAUCCAGGGACCUUAUUAUAUGUAUAGGACGCCAAUUCAAUGGUCGGGGCGAUAAUCUGGGCAUAGACCUCGCGAUCCCGCCCUUGACCCCUGGAGUGGUACCCGCGUCGAAACCCUAAGGACCGACCCGAAUCAGCAUUGCAGCGGUGUCAGGACAGCCCGGGACAGUCUGCAAGGACCAAAACCCAACUGUCCUAUCCGAAUCCGAAAGUGCGCAAAGCAAUCCUCACCUGCCCUAUCCCAAUCCUCAAGUGCCAACACCAAUCCUCACCCGAACAAACCCAAUCCCCAAAAGUGGUAUUCCAAUCCCUGGCCGGUCAAACCCAAUCCUCAAGUGCUGGGUCCAAUCCUACUCUGGCCAAUCCAAUCCACGGAGGGGUGACCGGCGGCGGGACCAAUCCUAUACCCCAUACCACCCCUCUGCCCGCGUGAGCUGCUCGCAGGCUGCCAGAGCUCGGAAGCGGCAUCCUGCUGCUUUAAGGACGUUUCAGGACAUGGGCCUCCGGGCCAAGGCAUUGCGCGUCUGUGACGCCGUCGAGAAAAUGUGUGGUGCUUGCGUUUGAUGGGGAUGUCGGCAGACCUCUGGCCUGUCGCGCCUUGUUGUGCGUUGGUGCUGCCGCCAAAAGACCUAAACGAGAUGAGGGGUGUUACGUGGCGGUGGGGCUUUGGCGGGCUUCGGCUUGGCUUCGACUCAUGUGCGUAACACUAUGAAGGUCGGCAGCCAACCAGGGGGCGGGUGUUGUUUCUCUGGGUCGCAGAUGGCCCUUCGCGGCGUGGGUACGGCGUGCCCCCGCUUGUCGGGUUGUCCCUUCAAUUGUAAUCCGCAUCCUUUAAGGAUGGUCUGGCAUUUUUAACAAAGGUUGUUUCAGAGCCGCUCAGCCUCUGGAGGGAUCUGCACAGGCCUCUGAAGGGCUCUGAGGGCUCUGAAGGGGAGGGCUUGAGUCCGGCACGCAAGCGGCCUGCGCGCCGAAGCAGAACACGGGCUGAGCCAGCACACAAGUGAGCACCGGGAAGUUCCCAUUCCAGCGCUGGCAAGGCGUGUGAAGUGGUACAGUGCACCAUGCAGUGGGUGCAUGGGCGCGAGGGCACGUAGGCCCGAGUGGCUUCACCGGUCGCUCUGCUCGCUUGUACGGCAGCCAGGUCGCAUCCGAGCGCCCUCACAACAACAGCCGCCAUCGGAGCAAUGCCACAUCCGAGUCAGUUAACGUGCCUCGUCCCGUGGGCCCUCAAAACGACAGCACUUCACACACACAGUUGCGCUCUACUUGCACCGGCGCUCCCAUUCGUAACACGCGCCGCACAUGCCAUGCCUGUACCCGGCGGCCUUGGUGCCACACUUGCAGCGGCAGCCGUCGGGGCCCAGCAGCGCUGCUGCCAAAUGGCAACGCGCCGCCGCGAAGGCCGCAUUCAAUAAGUGCGCAACGGCGGGUUCUGGGCUCGGCCCGCCGGCGCCCCGCCCAGCGGCCAGCAGCAUUGCAUUCUUGAGGAUGGCGCAGGCGGUGCAAUCUGGAUGGGAUCUGUGACGCGUCACGACGUACUACGGUACUAGUGGCACGCAGCACACUACUGCACAAACGAGUCGCUGUCGAUCACCAGCUUGUCAGUGCCAUUUUGGGCUAAGGGGUGAAAGUUGGUGCUGAAAAAGAGGCUUGGUGCUUGUAAACGCCUGCCUGCCUGCAGCACCCACACCCGCUUAUCCCUCAUACGGCCCAUUGUAUGUUACAGCUGUGGGUCUGCCUCUGACCCAGGCCCAACACACGGCUGCUGCAGCCUACCAGUCACUUACGGACUGGCGAGAGCGCCCUCAAGCACGCGGCACUCAACACCAAAGCCUACGGCACGGAAUUCCCUCCAGAAGCAGGGCCGACCGCGAUGAAAGAGAACCACCUCCGUUUAGCUACUCAGUGGCAGGUGGCGUAGAGACAGCUCGCACAGAACAGACUCGCACACACCUCACAUCACAUGCAACACAAAACACGGCCCAGUACCCCCCCCCCAGCCUUAUCGCUGCAUAAGCUCGCAGCCCACACGUACUGGUGCAACUCGCACUCCAUCCCUGCAGGGCUCAGCAGCCCAGCGGGGAUACCAUCACCAUUAACACCAUCGCGCCGCAGACCCGCUCGCUCAACUUGCCCAUGCUGGACCACGCACACUAAUUGCUCGCUCGGGCAACAGCAGCAGCUAGCUGCAAGUCCGCGUCCUGGAGCGAGCUGCUCGCGGUCAUGCUUGGUAGUCCUUGCCGUAAACCACUGCCAGGCGCCCGCGCGCCUUCUUGGCCUCUCCUCGGCAACGACAGCAUCCACUCGUCUCGCCGGUUCACUGCCAAGUAUUGCCUUCCCAGCCGCCCCAGCCCCAGCCCGUGCACAUGACCCUCCUGGACUCUUGCUCGUUCUCCACCACGUCACAUUGCGCAAUGCCACUGUCGCCGGCACUUCGCUCAGCUGCGCAAGCUAGCACCGUCACAGCCGACUGCAGCCUUCGAGGCCCCUCCUUGACAGCAGGUCCGCGGUCUGCAGGACGAACAGAAGCGGACCAUGGACGGAGAAGCACGAUUGACGGUGGAGCAGCGGCGCUGCCUGCAGGUGAAGUGGCGUGAGGCAAUGCAGGUCGGUCGCAGGCAGCGGGAAACUGUAGGAUGAGGUUCUGUACCCACAUGCGCCUUCCCCCGGACUCCUCCUGCCCAACUCAAACCACGCACGCCUCUCCUCCUGCGUAACGAGCACGCCUAAUAUUAACCCCGCACACGGAGGUGCAGGUGCAGGCGCAUGCUAUACGCUUACCGGCCCCGUCUGCAGCGCUGGAGAGCAGCUGCGGCGCCGAGCGCCCCACGAACAGCAGCACGGGGGGGGAAUAGUGCAAGGUAACGCACGGAUGGUACCGACAGAGUCACAGCCAUCACCCGGAGCGGCUUGCCGGGGCGCAACUUCAACACCCAGUCAACCAGGGCACGGCAAUACUUGAUCUUGGCAUGGUGAUAGUGGCCCCUCAUCCCACUGAGUGACACUGCUCUGCGUCACCCUCUACCCAACCGGCCCAGUGCGCGAUGGCCCCGCUCUGCGGCCUGUCCCCUUAACUGCACGCCGAUCUUCACCAUGCUCACCAGCAGCAGCCGGCGGCAGCGAGCCUGCAGCAGGGGAGGCACAACGGAUCCCAGUGCGAAUGCAGCGUCAAGGUCGCGGGCAAACGACUACCCCAAUGUGCGUUGGAUUGUCCCGCGCAGCUGCUGCGUGUACAGGGUCACGGGUGGAUCCCACAGCAGCACAGGUGGAUCCCAGCGGCAGGAGUGUUCGCGCGCUCUUCACGGUAGCUCAAUCACAUACUAUAGGUGGAUCCCGUGACGGCCAGCGUGCUCGCAUGUCCAUUCACCAAAAGCUCCGGGGUGACGACACAACUCACGCCCCUAGCUUCGUAACGAGUCCUCCUGCCUCCAGCGACUACUACCUCUUACCUUGCUGCUACCUACUGCGACUGGUUGUCCUCGCUGGCUGCUAUCAGCAGGCCUUCUGAUGUCACAGCUCCUUCCAGAUACUUGCGCAUCAACUCGCGGUCAUACCCAGGCGAGACCCAGCCCGCCUGCGACACUAUGACUUCGCCAGGCUUCUGCCAGCCGGCGCUCACAGCGUGCUUGAUUGCGUGGUGUGCGUGAAAUGCCAGCAGGCGGCGGGCGGGCAGGUUGUCGCCUGCCACGUGCAGGUACUUUGUGUGCACGUCCUUCCACUUGUGGGUAUCCGACUUGGCGGUGUCGCCCGUUCCAAUGAACUGUUCCCGCGGGUUCAGCAGCAACGACUCCUUCAGCACGUAGAUCUGCAUUAUCAAGGGAUCGCACAACUUUCAAGUGCGGAAUAUGGCCCUUUUGCAAGCCAUCAAGACACGAUUCCUCGAAGCCAUCCGAGUGCGCUCCCCUGAGAGAAUGAUGAGUAGCCAUUAGUUUGAAGGGGCUGAUCCGGGGGCAUCAUACUCUUCAAUGACAGCUCCACAUUUCUGGAGGGACUGCUGCAAUGCGGCGAAUUGACUACCCACCCCUCACCUGCCCCGGAACCAGCAUUCUUGCGCACCUGAUAACACUCAACGCCGUUCUCGUUCUGGGGAAUGAUGGCCAGUUCAAACCGGUCGAAAGCGGUCUCCACUUCCGUGCGGACCAGGAUGAUGUUGCGCGGGUCGUGCACGGAGGUGACGCCCAGCAGCGGCUGCACAGCAUAGGAGUAAAUGGAGGAUUUCUUGUUUUGGUGUGUGUGCGUGUGUGAGCAGCUCUAAUCACAUAGACUGUUGAGGAAAGGACUGGCUCAAGAUUGAUAACAAGCGUCACCCGGACCCAUACGCGCAACAGCAAGAGGAUACAAACUCUGAAGCGCGGCGGGGGGAAGGGGAUUCAGUAAGCAACUAUAAAGUGGAUGCGAAGCGGCCCAAGGACAGGGCCGGGUGGAAGAGACCCAGUCUGGUUGGUAGCAUGCUCAUGUGUUAGCCCACUCCGGGCACAAUUAAUAAGAUAGUAUGCAAAUCCACACCGCAGCCAACCAGACUUACCAGGAAACCCCGGUUCCAGCCCUGACGGAAGAUAUGCCCCGCCUUGAUACUGGCGAUUGGCAUGUGCUCUCCGGUCACCAUGCACUGCACGGUCUUGGGGCUGGCGCUGUAGCCGUAGUACCUGAAGGCAUUCUCGCGGUAGGGCGUGCUGUCCUUGCUGGAUGUCGCUGUGAACUCGCCCUGCAUCAGGACUCGUACGAACUGGCUCUGGUCCCUGAUUUCCUCCCGGAUCUCCCCAAGCUCCAGCUUGAGCUGCUUGGCCUGCUCCCCAAGCUCCAGCUUGAGCUGCUCCAGCCGCUCGAGAACAACUGCAGGUGUUUAUUCCGGAGCAAACACAUGUUUAGUGAUUGGCGUACAAUCUAUGUGCGUUCACACCAUGCACAGAGCUGAAGGCAUGAGAGGUAAUAGCGCUUACUAGAAGCCCCAAGGAAGAGCGUGUGGAAGAGCAGUUCCUACACAGAUAGACCGGGGUAUUAUCGUACCCGGGGGAUUACCGUAUUGAGGCCAGUGCUCACUAGUUUCAUACGAUUUCAGGCUAUGCCCCCGGACUUAAGGUUUAUGCACCGUGUUCGCAAUUACUGAGGGGAUAAACGGGGGGUCCGGCACUAGGUUAGCACCCACGGGUUUUGGACAUGCGUGGCCGCGGUGGUCGACAUGUCCGCGACCGAGGUAGCCCCAAAAACGUCGCCAAAAUGCGCAAUAAUAAUCAUGUAUAUGUUACAUUGGUAAUACAUAGCAGCUCAGGGAGUUCAACAAGCUUGCUGCGUUGCGACGUUCAAUGUCUCUCGAAAUGCACUUGCCGUGGACCUGAAAGAUAAAAUGUAAGCGUUUACGAGGCUUUCGGUAUAUGUUUAUGAAUACAAAAUUAUGGUGCAGCGCAAAAGCGGCUGCGUGCACGGCCGGCACGGUUCGCAGGCGGGGGAUCGCAGCUCGAAGCAGCACACGGCCGUCGGCUCAACGACCAGAGCUCGCAGACAUGCCAUAUAUUGUAUUGGAAGCAUGUGCGCCGGCGGGCGCAGUCAGCGGCGGGCAUUUGGGAGCUGUUCCGAGUCCAUACGAUAAUACCCCGGUUUUCCAGAAAGUGGCGUAAUGGACCCCCUGCGCGCGGACCCACGCACAUGUGCUAUGUUGCUAGCGCGCCCCCCCCCACUGUGCCAACCUCUUCCAUAUAUCCCUAUGGUCGUAUGACCCGGUUUACAUGACCAACAUGCUCUUGGGUCGGCACCAUGGGUCGGUACCAUGCUCUAAAAACAUACGAUAAUACCCCGGUCUACCUGUACUGACGUAUUAAUGAGCCAGUGGGUAAGCAGAAAGGAUACAUCAAGAUAGCAGUUGAAGAUUGCAGACUAACACUACAGUACCCCAAUGCGCUUUCAGUCUAAUCAUAGGGCAGCUGUGCCCUUCAGUGGCCGAGGUGGAUCCCCGCGACGGCCAGCGUACUAUGCCGUGCUCUUCGCGAUGGCCCGCCCAUAGGAUGCUAAGGCUGGUGCUAAGGCGCGGCGCCUAGACCCGAGGCCAGAAUACAAACUCACCGUCCCCUGGCGCGCUCCCUACGCCCAAGCCAGUCGCCGCGCCUGCAUCACAUGAAAGCGACCGAACCACAGAUGCAAACUAAGUGAAGAUAUGAACAAAAGGCAUGCGCAGGUUGGAACGGCGCUGCACGUGCACGAUGCAGGCUGGUGAACGGGGAGGGACAGCGUGCACACCCAACCUCACUGUGCACCACCCCCGUCCAGCGGCCACCCUCUGAGCCGCGCCGUGUCGUGAUCAUCCGCUACCCUGUGCGCAUCGUCCCACUUACCAGCUUGUGCUGUGCCCUGGCCAGCCGCCGCACCUGCACAACGUGAAAGUGAUCACAAGGCAAUGCAGGCAGUCAGCAUCGCCAGGGCGGAACGAAUCACGCCCCGCCAACAAGGCCAGAGCCCGAGGGCCGUGAGGCUCCGGCGAAUGGCUGGCUUCGCCUAGGCUCUGAGACUUUGUGCCCAGGCGGAGCCAGCCUCUUGAACUACCCUGGUACGCAUCCCCUGUCACCUGGCUCUCCGCAAAUUUCUUCGACCGAACCCGACCCAAACCAUCGUUGAGGCUCGUCCCGCACCCGUCUCCGAUGCCGCUCCGCGUCCGGGGCCUUGCCCCAUGCCCGCUAAUCCGCUCCCGGAGGACUUGAAGGUCAGAACUUCGAUUACGCAAGGCUUGAAGCUAUUUGGAGGAAGGUUUCGUGGAAAGGACACGGACCAGGAUGGUGGCCUCGCCUCUCACUCACCGGCACUGGUCUGGCACCGCCACGUCCCACCCGCAGCCCCAACAACUACCAAUGUGCCGAUCCCACCCUAAAGCCUCUGAGAGAUGCUCACCAGCAGCAGCCGGCAGCGAGCCUGUAGGGGGAGGUGCACGCCAUGGGAGCGGUCGGGGGACGCGUUAACAUAACAAGUUGCAUGCCGCUGCAGGUUUCAGGCGCGCGAUCUUGACCUAGACAAAAUGCCAACCACACAAUAAACAUGAUGAACUUGUUUGGGCUCCACACAUACCGCGCGCUUCGAGAAGCAUGAGCUCCUUCUUCCGUAGCAUGAGCUCCUUCUCCCGGAAGUAGCGCUUGUCCUCGGCAUCCUUCGCCGACUCCGCUUGGGCCGACACCCGGGCUAUUUCCGCUCCUAUGUCGUUAAGUUCCUGUUGCAGUUUCUCUCCUUCCUCCACUUUCUCUCCUUCCUCCUUUUGCCAAGGUCCUUGAGGUGACAGGAGUGGGUGGGAUACAGCCAUAACGCUAAGUAUAAGUCAGGGCCGAGCGAUUAAAAUGUUGCUCACGGACGACACGGUCUCGGCCAUGGCGACCUCGAUGGAACCUUAUCUAUGCUGCAGCCAGUGUUUGCAAAUGCAUGGAAUGGUUAGGACUUGUCUGGAAGGGACAAGGAAGCACCAGGAAGCGGACCCGACCGCAACCCAAAUCGGUGGCAGAUGGGGCCUAAGCGAUGGGCCCAUCGGGCCCGGUUCAACAGUUUGGCCAAGUCAGGAGCAAUUUUUCGAUAGCGUGGCACCUUCGCGCGAUUUUGGCAAAUUACUUGUCAGAAACAACGAUUUCGCUUAUCAUAAGGAUUUCCCGUAGCCCGGCUCAAAAAGAUAGUUCUUUGAUUCUAGCGCCGAUCGAUAAGGUUGAGAUAAGCAACUGCUCAUCAGCCGUGGCCUGGAGGAAACAUAUUGAAAGAAGCGUUGUCUAGCGUUACCGUGGACCUGCGUGGUCAAGACCUCCCUUAAUGCCGGCCAUAACUUGCCAUUCAUAUAAUAUGAACAUAGUACAUUUACAUAUUUGAAGAAUAUAAUGAGGGAACAAAACGGCUGAGCGAAUUGCUAGGUUUGGACGUGGCAUCCGUGCCUUCCCCUCGCAGCUUAUGGAGGUGCUAACAAGCUGCGGGAUACAUGGGCUGUUGGUGUAUCCCAGUAAGUGCUUGCGGUCUGUGAACGCCUAGGCUUGGGCACGCGGGUACCACUCCGGCAAGUCCCUAGGGACUGCGUGUGUCCAAUGCCCUAGACUGCCGAAAUGUCAUCAUGUGACAUAUAAUAAGGUCCCUGAAUGAUUUCCGGGCACAAACUCGAGCGGGAGCCGAAGUCGAAAUGCUAAAUGUCGCGCUCGCCAGGACUUACUGGAAUUCGCCCUACGCAGUCCGGAUGACAUCUCUCGGUGAACCUUAGUCGACGGCACUAGAUACAGGCCCAAAAUACCGCCUAUGCGAGAUAUGGGCUCUGGUCAAUUUCGCGACUUGAGCCCUGACCAACAUGUUUUGUCCUCUGCCGAGCGCUAAUGCCCACUUAUGAUGUAAGUUAUGUACCUACAAAAAGGCGGCGUCUAAAUACUGCGGUAGGAUUUGCCUCGGGCGACUCCCAGAGCCCCCCAAACGUGUGGGUUUGGCUAGGAGCAUGCACCCCCCCGGACAAUUGUGCACAUAACUUUUUGAUGCCUAUUCUUUUUACAGUGGCGAUUGCGUAUCCUGCAUACACUGUACGUACUCUAUCCAUCACGCUAUCACGCUUUUAGUUUUCACGACGAAAAUAUUUGCGUGUCCCACUGCACACCCCAUGCACGGCUGCAGCCGUACGGCCUUUCAGGUCGCCUCCUCGUAGCUCCGCACCAUAGUAGCCGUAUACUACACAACGAGACGAAGCCGUAGGUAUGCUGGCGGCCUGGUCAGAUGAUACCUAUUGGGUCUACCAGGCUGUCAAAGUUUGGACACAGCAAAUGACCAGAGUGGUACCCGCGUGGGCUUGGGCUUUGUGGCCUCAUGGUAGGUGCCUAAUGGUAGGUGCCUCAUGGAAGGUGUUAACAAUUACAGUGCCCAUAAGUUAUGGGGGGAAUAAGGUGUGCGAGAUUGAGCACUGCGGCGGUGCCGCCGACCCACCGCCGUGAUGCAGAACAAAGUUGUAACCGGCGGCACUGUUAUCCUCAUUCGCUCCUGCCUCACCAUUCGCCACAGGCCCACGGGGGCCAAACAUUCAACAUCUCUGUUGUAUUUCUCAACUCCUCUGGAGUUUUUUGGGCUGAGUUCCCCGAGCGCAGCGAGACAGACCUGCUUCUGGAGGGAAUUCCGUGCCGUAGGCUUUGGUGUUGAGUGCCGCGUGCUUGAGGGCGCUCUCGCCAGUCCGUAAGUGACUGGUAGGCUGCAGCAGCCGUGUGUUGGGCCUGGGUCAGAGGCAGACCCACAGCUGUAACAUACAAUGGGCCGUAUGAGGGAUAAGCGGGUGUGGGUGCUGCAGGCAGGCAGGCGUUUACAAGCACCAAGCCUCUUUUUCAGCACCAACUUUCACCCCUUAGCCCAAAAUGGCACUGACAAGCUGGUGAUCGACAGCGACUCGUUUGUGCAGUAGUGUGCUGCGUGCCACUAGUACCGUAGUACGUCGUGACGCGUCACAGAUCCCAUCCAGAUUGCACCGCCUGCGCCAUCCUCAAGAAUGCAAUGCUGCUGGCCGCUGGGCGGGGCGCCGGCGGGCCGAGCCCAGGACCCGCCGUUGCGCACUUAUUGAAUGCGGCCUUCGCGGCGUAUUAGUAUUUGCUACGUAUUAGUAUUUGCUACGUAUUAGUAUUUGCUACAUUUAACUUAAAUGCCGGGUAGCGACUCGGACUCGGACUACGAGCCUGCCUUGAGCCGCCGCAAGGCUGACGCAAAGCGCAAGCGCGACCGCCGACAGCAGCUGUCCCCCGAGGCGCGCAGGCCCGAGCUUGACUCACACGCUCAGCUGCUUUGUAAGACCCACGGAGGAGAAACUGUGCCUGCCUGUGUCCCGUUGGAUAGGGGGGACUAUGACAGCCAGAGGGUGGAAUGGCAGCGCAGAGGUACUGCCUGCGUCGGCAAAAAGUAUCAUACUGGCGCAAACUGCGACUGCUACGUAUUAGUAUUUGCUAUUGCCUAUUGCAUGUAAAUAGGUGGCAGGGAAAAUUCGGGCGGAGCGAGAAGUGCCUUCUUGCGAGAAUCGACAAUUGACUUCUGCGAGGUCGCGCGAAAAGCAAGUCAAGCCCGCGUUAAUUGCAUCUAUACUUCAAAAUAUGUUGACGGCAAUUUGCGUGGGGAACCAUAGCGCGAGCUUUCGCCGACUUGCUAGGAAAUGCCUGUCGCCGGUCUGAAUGCUACGGGUGGUCGCUCUCGCCCCGCGCCUGGCCCGAGGAGUGUCGGACGUCGGGUAGUUCUUGGGGCAAGGUUGAGGUGUAGAAAAUGCCAGGGACUGGCGGCAAGGGAGUCCUUGACUGGCGUGGGUGGCGUGUGGGAUCCAGACACGCGUGGCUUGGGCUGGCCCAGGUGUUCCCCUGAGUUCUGAGCCGGAGCCCGUGCAGCAUCGGCAUGGGCCCUGAAGCUCGUUUGGUUGCAGAAGUCAACCAGCCUAUGGCUUUAUUGGGGCCCAUGUAUUCCUAGGGGCUCAGCCCAUUUUCCAGCUGUACAAAGCUGACACCCCUUGUUUAUGGACUCCUCGCACUUGUGGGUUGCCGCGGCCUUUGCAACUGGAUAGUGGGCCAACAGGGUACUGGCCCGCCAAGCAUGCAGGGCGGCCGGGCGCACAGGCGGUGCUCGUGUUGGCUUGCCCCUUGCCCCUUCGGAUGGAGCCCUUGCGGUCGCAUCGGGGCCUUUUUGGGCUGAGCCCCCUGAGCGAAGCGAUCCAGGGGGGGCGAAGCCCCCCAGGAUUGCCCCUGUCCGUGCCUGCCUGCCUGCCUGCCUGCCUGCCUGCCUGCCUGCGUUGACAAAAAGUGCCAAACUGGUGCAAACCGCGAGCGCCACGUAUUAUAAAUUGCUAUUCCCUAUUGUAAAAAAAUAGGCGGCAGGGAAAACUCGGCUGGAGCGAGAAGCGACCUCGCGAGUCCAUGGACUUCUUAACUUUCGCGAGGUCGCGAGGUCGCAAGGAAAGCAGCCCUGUCACGCGGAUUCCACAAAGGAAGAGCUGCCAACUUCAAACUUUCUGCCUGGAAGUUGUCAUUCCGUUUGGUGGCUCGCGUGCCCGCGACGUCCAAGUGUGCCAACACUGCGGGACUGUGUGGGUAAGUGGGAUGGCAGGUUUGGGGCAGGUUUGGGUCGGCAGGUCGGUUUGGAGAUGAUGACACGGGAUGACACGGGAUGACACGGGAUGACACAGGGCGGUUUGGAGAUGAUACGGGGUGACACACGGGAUGACACAUGGGAUGACACACGCCCUGUUUGCAUGUUGAACUGCAGGGCCGCGACGCCAACUCGGCUACAAACAUGCGGCAUGCGGCGGUGGCGGUGGCGGUGGCGGUGGCGGCGGUGCAGGGCCUGGAGACGGCGGUGGCGGCGGCGGUGGCACCGCGCCUACCGGCGGCAACAGCAGCGGCCACGGCGUUGGGCCCGGUGGUGGUGGCGGCACGGGCGGCCCUGGGCCCAGCGGCAGUGGCGGCGCGCAUGUUCGGAGCAGAGGGGGCGGGCAAGGCCACGUGGAGGAGGACAGCGCGGCGCCGCCUUCAAAGCGGCGCCGGCGCGCAGGUUGAGACCUGCCGGUGUUGUCUGGUUAGCGACCUGUGCUGACGAGGAUGGCGUAGCAGGCAAUCGGCUGCAGCGGCAGGGGUGUUGAGAGGUUUUCCUUGCUGUCUGGUUGGCCUGCUACCUGCUGCACUAGUGCUUGAUAGCUGGGCGCGACUGGGCACAUAUGGCGGGCGGUGCCUGUACAAACCGACCCCGGCUAUGUCCGGGAGAUGAGGCUAGUAUCGGAACCUUCGGCCUCAGACGGAGGACGUGGCGUGGCGGCACAGCCCACUUUUCCCUUGCAAGGGAGAGCCACCUUCUCUUGUCAGUUACCUUCAGAGCCCUGCAGAGCCCUUCAGAGCGAUUCAGAGCCCUGCAGAGCGAUUCAGAGCCCUUCAGAGCGCUUUAGAGCCCUCCAGAGCCCUGCAGAGCCCUCCAGAGCGCUUUAGAGCCCUCCAGAGCCCUUCAGAGCCCUCCAAAGCCCUC